AAAAGCCUUCCCUGCUGCUGCUGUGUGAAAAAUCACUUCAUGUUGUAUUUGUUUAACUACCACGAGCGAUCCUCUAACCAGCCAUCUUAAUGGAAUAUAACUGUUGGCCUCAGUUCAACCUGUUUUCAAGAACCACAAAUUGUGUAACAUUGUUCAGAAACCUUUCAGGCUCCAGUUUAUACCUUCAUAUUUUUCUGAGUACCUUCAUCAUGGAAGAGAAGUCACUCAGAAGGAUGAAACUGCAAGGUCAUUUAAACUGGAAAUAAGCAAGAUCUAAACCAAACCCUCCUUCGUUCAUUAACAAAGAUGUAAUUGCUGGCUACAACAACGUCCAACUUGAAGCAACUCAUCUUUUACAAAGAGAAGGGUGGAUGCAGCAAUACACCAUUACAGUCAGGAAACACUGCAACUACAUUUUCAGAUUUCCCUCACAAAGAGGAAAGAGCUGGACUGGCACAGAAUGCCACUUAUCCCAGGAAACAGGGGCAGGGAAUCCCAGAACACUCUGCACUACAGUUUUCACCCAGAGGCAAAUCCCUCCCAUGGACAGGUGAGCUCUCAGCAUGAGGAGGUCAACUGGAAAAGUGGACAAGGAAAGAAGAAAGUCCCAGUCUAGCUCCUGACUCCUUGAUCUUUCAUCCAUAAAGG
This is a long non-coding RNA of Columba livia (rock pigeon), 648 nucleotides long. RefSeq lists it as uncharacterized. The transcript has 4 exons. The record is from RefSeq and is a predicted model, not a curated record. Lineage: Eukaryota; Metazoa; Chordata; Aves; Columbiformes; Columbidae.